GAACGCUGGCGGCGUGUUAACACAUGCAAGUCGAACGGUGAAGGAUGGCUUUUGUUGGUUCUGGAUGAGUGGCGAACGGGUGAGUAACACGUGAGUAACUGCCCCCUUCUUCUGGAUAACCGCAUGAAAGUGUGGUAAUACGGGAUAUUCUGGGUCUGUCGCAUGGCGGGCCCGGGAAAGAUAUUGCUUCGGUGGGGGAUGGGCUCGCGGCUAUCAGCUUGUUGGUGGGGUGAUGGCCUACCAAGGCGGUGACGGGUAGCCGGCCUGAGAGGGUGGACGGUCACACUGGGAUGAGACACGGCCCAGACUCCUACGGGAGGCAGCAGUGGGGAAUAUUGCACAAUGGGCGCAAGCCUGAUGCAGCGACGCCGGUGAGGGAUGGAGGCCUUCGGGUUGUAAACCUCUUUCGCCAGUGAAGCAGGCCUGCUCCUUGUGGUGGUUGACGUAGCUUGAUAAGAAGCGCCGC
This 466-nucleotide ribosomal RNA is filed under the name Actinomyces sp. oral taxon 169. RNAcentral describes it as "bacterial SSU rRNA". It matches the Rfam family "Bacterial small subunit ribosomal RNA", at positions 31 to 496 of the family's 1533-position model. The record is from RNAcentral. Lineage: Bacteria; Bacillati; Actinomycetota; Actinomycetes; Actinomycetales; Actinomycetaceae.